RNAcentral lists this ribosomal RNA (411 nucleotides) under uncultured eukaryote. RNAcentral describes it as "SSU rRNA". It matches the Rfam family "Eukaryotic small subunit ribosomal RNA", at positions 30 to 434 of the family's 1831-position model. The record is from RNAcentral.
GCUUGUCUCAAAGAUUAAGCCAUGCAAGUGUAAGUAUAAUUGUUUUACGGUGAAACUGCGAAUGGCUCAUUAAAUCAGUUAUAGUUUAUUUGAUGCUAUAGGCCGCAAGGCCACUACAUGGAUAUCUGUAGUAACAUAGAGCUAAUACAUGCAAUAUAGUCUGACUUUUUGGAAGGACUAGCACUUAUUAGAUAUUAAACCAGUCCCAGCAAUGGGUUUUUUGGUGAUUCAUAGUAACUGAACAAAUCACAUGGUCUCGUACCGGUGAUGUUUCAUUCAAAUUUCUGCCCUAUCAACUAGAUGGUAGUAUAUAGGACUACCAUGGUUGUAACGGGUAACGGAGGAUUAGGGGUUUGAUUCCGGAGAAGGAGCAUGAGAAACGGCUACUAUUUCUAAGGAAAGCAGCAGGCG